RNAcentral lists this RNase P RNA (356 nucleotides) under Aerococcus kribbianus. RNAcentral describes it as "RNase P RNA component class B". It matches the Rfam family "Bacterial RNase P class B". Rfam says of the family: Ribonuclease P (RNase P) is a ubiquitous endoribonuclease, found in archaea, bacteria and eukarya as well as chloroplasts and mitochondria. Its best characterised activity is the generation of mature 5'-ends of tRNAs by cleaving the 5'-leader elements of precursor-tRNAs. Lineage: Bacteria; Bacillati; Bacillota; Bacilli; Lactobacillales; Aerococcaceae. The record is from RNAcentral.
AAUUUCAGGUAAUCGCGGGUAAAGUUAUUUUACCUGAGGAAAGUCCAUGCUCACACAAGCUGAGAUGCUUGUAGUGUUCGUGUCUAGCGAAAUCAUAAGCUAGAGCCAUGACGGCAGUUAAAAAAGCUAAGGCCUUUAGGCUAUGCUUGAGUCAACUUGAAAGUGCCACAGAGACGAUCUAAAUAUGAAAGUAUUUAGCUGGAACGCGGUAAACCCCUCGAGUGAGCAACCCAAACUUUGGUCGGGGCGUUUGUCUUAAGGAAUUCAACUAAAAGACAAGCUGUUUAACAGAGAUAGAUGAUUACCAAACUUAGUAUGAUCCUGCAUACUAAGGGAACAGAACAUGGCUUAUCGAA